AGCAUGAAAAUCAGAAUGUCUUCCAACCUCAUUAACGAAAUAUCUCGCUUGCUAGUUUCUAUCAAAGAACUAAUUCCAGUAGAAUUCUGUAGGAAAACCAGAACAUUAGACGAACUGUCGCGUUUCAAGGCAACGGAAUUCCGGAUACCGUUGUUAUAUGUAUUACCUCUAAUCUUAAAAAACAGGCUCCCAGAUGUAGUGUAUAUUGUCUUGUGAUUGCAUUUUCAUUUCAAUCAAAUCAUUUCAAAAUCAAUAAAAAAAAAUCAAAAAAAAUCAAUCAAUCAAUCAAAAUCAAUCAAAAUCAAUUCAAAUUCAUUACUUAUAAUGUUCAUAAUCUUUGUCAUUUGUCGGAGGAAUGUCGCCGAUUGGGCGCUCUUGAAAAUUUCAGUUGUUUUGUUUUCGAAAAUCACCUGGGUAAACUUAAGAAUUUGGUGAAAAAAAGUGCCAAGCCUUUGGAACAGCUUGUGAAUCGGAUAAUGGAAGCACGCAAUAAUCCCUCUGUUGAACGUACUUUACUACGGAAUCCUGAUUUAAUUAAGCUCAUUGAUGAGCAUUUCAAAGGUCCGAUGCUUCCAUGGCUGCAUGGGAUGCAAUACGAGAAAGCAUAUUUUCAUAAAUUAAGACUAAGCACAAGAAGCCCCAAUAAUUGCGUCGUCAUACAAGAUGACACCGUUGUCUUGAUUAAAAAUUUCGUGAAACUAACAAAUGGGGAAACUGUGAUUCUCGGAAACAAAUUCUUGGUGUACGAAAAUUUUCUCGAUUUCAACGGGUUGGAUUCAAAAACCGUUGGAACACAAAUUUUUGACACAUUGUCAACAGAUCUUGAGUUUUUGCCACUUAAUUCAAUUUGUUUUAAAGCUAUUAAACUUCCAAUCAUUCAUAAAGCUCCUCCCACUCCAAGUUUUGGCAUUGUAAGACUGAUGAAUUUUGAUGUAAACAUUCAGUAAUUCAUCGAAUCAGGUUGAGCAGUUCUAUUUACAUCCUAACAUGAUGUAAUGUUUGCUGCUGUUGCCUAUUAUAUCAACCAUCGCUUGGGGGAUGCGCAGAAGAAUUCCAGCUGUUAUUUCACAUCAAAUUUUGUUUAAAAAUUUUCUUCUGUGUUUUCAAUACAGUAAUAAUUAAAACAUA
Molecule: long non-coding RNA, 1128 nt
Organism: Daphnia magna
Lineage: Eukaryota; Metazoa; Arthropoda; Branchiopoda; Diplostraca; Daphniidae
Exons: 2
Source: RefSeq, a predicted model, not a curated record